This 265-nucleotide unclassified non-coding RNA is filed under the name fungal sp. RNAcentral's name for it is "partial internal transcribed spacer region". The stretch from base 1 to 46 matches the Rfam family "Eukaryotic small subunit ribosomal RNA", at positions 1786 to 1831 of the family's 1831-position model. Lineage: Eukaryota; Fungi. The record is from RNAcentral.
AAGUCGUAACAAGGUUUCCGUAGGUGAACCUGCGGAAGGAUCAUUAAAAAAUCAUUUGAGCCGCAAGGCUCUAUUAUCUUGUGAAAUGUACAUGGGAGAAUUCUGCACAGGGGAGGGGAAGAUAUGUCGCCUUGCGCGCUAUAUUAUCCAUUACUCUAUGUGCAAGGGUUUCCCAGUUAUUAUUAAACAUAUGUUUAUUGAUGUUGAGGAAAUGUAUAUUUAAAUAAUACUUAUACAACUUUCAACAGUGGAUCUCUCGGCUCUU